This 958-nucleotide ribosomal RNA is filed under the name uncultured bacterium. RNAcentral describes it as "partial 16S ribosomal RNA". It matches the Rfam family "Bacterial small subunit ribosomal RNA". The record is from RNAcentral.
ANACNAGNUANNGGNAGAAUUAANGGNGCGGGUUAAAUUNCNGGNGCCAGGCANNCAGGGGUAAAUACGGAAAGGUUACGGGANAGUUUAACCCGGGUUUUAAUUGNGGUUUUAAAGGGAACGNAAGGCCGGCCCCUUUAANNGUNUUGGUAGAANGGGGGUGUUNCNACAUCCAGANUUNGNAAGCUAGUAANGGNNGGGCUUUAGAGUGNGCGNANAUUAGGNGGAAUUUCNGUGGGUGUAGCGGUGAAAAGCUUAGANUAUCAANAAANANCUCNGAUUGAGAAAGCAGGCUUANUGUAGCGCAACUGACGUUGAAGCUAGAAAAGCGUGGGUAUCNAACAGAAUUAGAUACCNUGGUAGUCCACGCGGUAAACGAUGGAUGCUCAGUUGUCGGCCUUUGAGGCCGGUGACCAAGCGAAAAGCGUUAAGCAUCCCACCUGGGGAGUACGCCGGCAACGGUGAAACUCAAAGGAAUUGACGGGGGCCCACACAAGCGGAGGAACAUGUGGUUUAAUUCGAUGAUACGCGAGGAACCUUACCCGGGCUUGAACUGCGGCGGAACGAUUCAGAGAUGAUGAGGCCCUUCGGGGCGUCUGUGAAGGUGCUGCAUGGUUGUCGUCAGCUCGUGCCGUGAGGUGUCGGCUUAAGUGCCAUAACGAGCGCAACCCCUUUCUUCAGUUGCCAUCAGGUGAUGCUGGGCACUCUGUAGAUACUGCCACCGCAAGGUGUGAGGAAGGUGGGGAUGACGUCAAAUCAGCACGGCCCUUACGUCCGGGGCUACACACGUGUUACAAUGGCGCAUACAGAGAGUCGGUGGCAUGCGAAUGCCAUCCAAUCCUUAAAGUGCGUCUCAGUUCGGACUGGGGUCUGCAACCCGACCCCACGAAGCUGGAUUCGCUAGUAAUCGCGCAUCAGCCAUGGCGCGGUGAAUACGUUCCCGGGCCUUGUACACUCC